AAACCCUGUGUAGUAGGCUUCUGGAGGAUAGCCCAUGCAUGUACGAAGCCAGUGUGUGAUUGAAAAGAUAACCUGCAAAAAAGAAUGUUAUUUCUUCUCAAAUAUCACGCCAAUUCUGCACAACCACAAAGAUCAACAUGUAGCCGCUGCUACAAGAAACGCUAAAGAUUUUAGGUUAUGACGACUAAUCCCUGUAAGCCAUCGUGCCAAACAUAUUUU
Molecule: long non-coding RNA, 219 nt
Filed under: Setaria italica (foxtail millet)
Lineage: Eukaryota; Viridiplantae; Streptophyta; Magnoliopsida; Poales; Poaceae
Description: long non-coding RNA (SITA_LNC005141)
Source: RNAcentral